AUACCGUGGGAAAUCUAGAGCUAAUACGUGCAGUUCAUUGGCUCGUCUUCGGGCGAGUCAAAGCAUUUAUUAGACUAAACCAUCUACUAUGCUCGCAUAGUAAGGGGAAUCUGGAUAACUUUGCUGAUCGUAUGGCCCAGUGCCGGCGACGUUUCAAUUGAGUUUCUGCCCUAUCAACUUGUUGGUAAGGUAUUGGCUUACCAAGGUUGCAACGGGUAACGGGGAAUCAGGGUUCGAUUCCGGAGAGGGAGCCUGAGAAACGGCUACCACAUCCAAGGAAGGCAACAGGCGCGCAAAUUACCCAAUCUAGACAGUAGGAGGUGGUGAAGAGAAUUACUAGGUGGUGACUCAAUGAGUUACCAGUUUGGAAUGAACGUAACUUAAGAAAUUCGAUGAGAAACAACUGGAGGGCAAGUCCUGGUGCCAGCAGCCGCGGUAAUUCCAGCUCCAGUAGUUUGCUUUAAAGUUGUUGCGUUUAAAACGCUCGUAGUUGGAUCACGCAGCAGUGCCCAGUAAUCUGCUACUAGACUUUCCGAUGAAACCCGCUUCUGUGGUGUUUCAGGAAGUGUCCAUAGCAGAUACCAACGCUGAGCAUUGUUAGUUGCACGUGAGAUGAAUUGUUGGCCUUUAUUGAGCCGGUAUUCUCGUCUUGCGGAGUGUGCCUUGAAUAAAACAGAGUGCUUAAAGCAGGUCGUUGCCUGAAUGUUAUAGCAUGGAACGAACAAUCGUGUAUAUGUGUGUAUCCUAGAUUGGUGAUGAGCCUUAGGCUUUUUGUUGAUCGUGGA
This 785-nucleotide ribosomal RNA is filed under the name Aurantiactinomyxon sp. 'A'-2 EE-2005. RNAcentral's name for it is "bacterial SSU rRNA". It matches the Rfam family "Eukaryotic small subunit ribosomal RNA", at positions 143 to 879 of the family's 1831-position model. Lineage: Eukaryota; Metazoa; Cnidaria; Myxozoa. The record is from RNAcentral.